Molecule: ribosomal RNA, 468 nt
Filed under: uncultured bacterium
Lineage: Bacteria
Description: partial 16S ribosomal RNA
Rfam family: Bacterial small subunit ribosomal RNA
Source: RNAcentral
GACUAACGCUGGCGGCGUGCUUAACACAUGCAAGUCGAACGGAAAGGCCCUGCUUUUGUGGUGGGCUCGAGUGGCGAACGGGUGAGUAACACGUGGGUAACCUGCCCUGGACUUUGGGAUAACUUCAGGAAACUGGGGCUAAUACCGGAUAGGAGCUCCUGCUGCAUGGUGGGGGUUGGAAAGUUUCGGCGGUUGAGGAUGGACUCGCGGCUUAUCAGCUUGUUGGUGGGGUAGUGGCUUACCAAGGCUUUGACGGGUAGCCGGCCUGAGAGGGUGACAGGCCACGUUGGGACUGAGAUACGGACCAGACUCCUACGGGAGGCAGCAGUGGGGAAUAUUGCACAAUGGGCGGAAGCCUGAUGCAGCAACGCCGCGUGCGGGAUGACGGCCUUCGGGUUGUAAUCCGCUUUCGCCUGUGACGAAGCGUGAGUGACGGUAAUGGGUAAAGAAGCACCGGCUAACUACGUG